This 57-nucleotide small RNA is filed under the name Arabidopsis thaliana (thale cress). RNAcentral describes it as "ATSL255150". Lineage: Eukaryota; Viridiplantae; Streptophyta; Magnoliopsida; Brassicales; Brassicaceae. The record is from RNAcentral.
CAAGCUGCAAGAAUUGGUACUCCGUAUCUACUGUCGUUUGUUGGAUUGGCUGAAGUA